GGACGGGUGAGUAACGCGUGGGAACGUGCCCUUCUCUACGGAAUAGCCCCGGGAAACUGGGAGUAAUACCGUAUACGCCUUUUGGGGGAAAGAUUUAUCGGAGAAGGAUCGGCCCGCGUUGGAUUAGGUAGUUGGUGGGGUAAUGGCCCACCAAGCCGACGAUCCAUAGCUGGUUUGAGAGGAUGAUCAGCCACACUGGGACUGAGACACGGCCCAGACUCCUACGGGAGGCAGCAGUGGGGAAUCUUAGACAAUGGGGGCAACCCUGAUCUAGCCAUGCCGCGUGAGUGAUGAAGGCCUUAGGGUUGUAAAGCUCUUUCAGCUGGGAAGAUAAUGACGGUACCAGCAGAAGAAGCCCCGGCUAACUCCGUGCCAGCAGCCGCGGUAAUACGGAGGGGGCUAGCGUUGUUCGGAAUUACUGGGCGUAAAGCGCACGUAGGCGGACUGGAAAGUCAGAGGUGAAAUCCCAGGGCUCAACCUUGGAACUGCCUUUGAAACUAUCAGUCUGGAGUUCGAGAGAGGUGAGUGGAAUUCCGAGUGUAGAGGUGA
This 549-nucleotide ribosomal RNA is filed under the name Paracoccus sp. sed122. RNAcentral describes it as "bacterial SSU rRNA". It matches the Rfam family "Bacterial small subunit ribosomal RNA", at positions 100 to 684 of the family's 1533-position model. The record is from RNAcentral. Lineage: Bacteria; Pseudomonadati; Pseudomonadota; Alphaproteobacteria; Rhodobacterales; Paracoccaceae.